GAUGAACGCUGGCGGCGUGCCUAAUACAUGCAAGUCGAGCGAACAGACGAGGAGCUUGCUCGUCUGACGUUAGCGGCGGACGGGUGAGUAACACGUGGAUAACCUACCUAUAAGACUGGGAUAACUUCGGGAAACCGGAGCUAAUACCGGAUAAUAUAUUGAACCGCAUGGUUCAAUAGUGAAAGACGGUUUUGCUGUCACUUAUAGAUGGAUCCGCGCCGCAUUAGCUAGUUGGUAAGGUAACGGCUUACCAAGGCAACGAUGCGUAGCCGAACUGAGAGGGUGAUCGGCCACACUGGAACUGAGACACGGUCCAGACUCCUACGGGAGGCAGCAGUAGGGAAUCUUCCGCAAUGGGCGAAAGCCUGACGGAGCAACGCCGCGUGAGUGAUGAAGGUCUUCGGAUCGUAAAACUCUGUUAUUAGGGAAGAACAAAUGUGUAAGUAACUAUGCACGUCUUGACGGUACCUAAUCAGAAAGCCACGGCUAACUACGUG
RNAcentral lists this ribosomal RNA (497 nucleotides) under uncultured bacterium. RNAcentral describes it as "partial 16S ribosomal RNA". It matches the Rfam family "Bacterial small subunit ribosomal RNA", at positions 28 to 507 of the family's 1533-position model. The record is from RNAcentral.